ACGACUAUGCUUUCAGGGAUCAUUUCUCUCAUUACUAGAGAAGUUCCUCUGAACGUGUAGAGCAAUGGAACCCAUGAGGAAGACAGGCAGUAUUCUGUCCUGAGUGUGAAGCUGGCUCUUGGUGUUGCUUUGCUGCAACUACCACUUGCCACGGAUGACCGUUUUCGUCUUCCUCUGGGACAGUAAGGGAAAGGAUGCAGUCUGAAAGCU
Callithrix jacchus (white-tufted-ear marmoset) is the source of this 210-nucleotide small nucleolar RNA. Its record names the gene U3. It matches the Rfam family "Small nucleolar RNA U3". From Rfam's summary of the family: Small nucleolar RNAs (snoRNAs) are involved in the processing and modification of rRNA in the nucleolus. The record is from Ensembl. Lineage: Eukaryota; Metazoa; Chordata; Mammalia; Primates; Cebidae.